GUUAGAGUCCACACGCCCAGGCGCUUAGUGAUGAUGUCAGCUCCGGUUGCCAUGCUGAGUCGGAAGUGGGAACCCUUUGGCCCCUGAGACUGUCGUGUCGUCGCUGCUGGCCCUUCAGGCUCUGCCCCUCCCCCUAGGUCUGGAUGGAGGAUACCUUAAAGUGAAAUGACAGACCAGGAGAAUAACAACAACAUCUCAAGUAAUCCCUUUGCUGCUCUUUUUGGCUCCCUGGCUGAUGCCAAGCAGUUUGCAGCAAUCCAAAAAGAGCAGCUGAAGCAGCAAUCUGAUGAACUCCCAGCUAGCCCAGAUGAUUCGGAUAAUAGUGUGUCAGAGAGCCUGGAUGAAUUUGAUUACUCUGUGGCUGAGAUCAGCCGCUCAUUCCGGUCACAGCAAGAGAUAUGUGAGCAACUCAACAUCAAUCACAUGAUCCAAAGGAUCUUCCUCAUUACUCUGGAUAACAGUGAUCCUAGCUUGAAAAGUGGGAAUGGCAUCCCCAGCCGUUGUGUGUAUUUGGAAGAAAUGGCAGUAGAACUGGAAGAUCAAGACUGGCUUGAUAUGAGCAACGUUGAGCAGGCCAUCUUUGCUCGCUUAUUACUUCAAGAUCCAGGAAACCACUUGAUUAACAUGACUUCUUCUACAACAUUAAAUCU
This 650-nucleotide long non-coding RNA is filed under the name Ictidomys tridecemlineatus (thirteen-lined ground squirrel). RNAcentral's name for it is "lncRNA (ENSSTOG00000034387.1)". The record is from RNAcentral. Lineage: Eukaryota; Metazoa; Chordata; Mammalia; Rodentia; Sciuridae.